AUCAGGUAGGACUACCCGCUGAACUUAA
This 28-nucleotide ribosomal RNA is filed under the name Agaricus xanthodermus. Its description in RNAcentral is "partial 28S ribosomal RNA". RNAcentral also lists the same sequence under 1 other name. The record is from RNAcentral. Lineage: Eukaryota; Fungi; Basidiomycota; Agaricomycetes; Agaricales; Agaricaceae.